AAUGAAGUGCCUGAUAAAAAGGAUUAUUUUGAUAGAGUAAAACAUGUAAUAAAUUACCUUCAUUA
Molecule: transfer RNA, 65 nt
Filed under: Odontocimbex svenhedini
Lineage: Eukaryota; Metazoa; Arthropoda; Insecta; Hymenoptera; Cimbicidae
Description: tRNA-Ile
Source: RNAcentral